CUCAUAGCGUAUAUUAAAGUUGUUGCAGUUAGAACGCUCGUAGUCGGAUUUCGGGGCGGGGCGACCGGUCUGCCGAUGGGUACGCACUGGUCGGCGCGUCCUUCCUUCCGGAGACCGUGCCUACUCUUAACUGAGCGGGGGCGGGAGACGGAACGUUUACUUUGAAAAAAUCAGAGUGUUUCAAGCAGGCAGCUCGCUCUUGCAUGGAUUAGCAUGGGAUAAUGAAAUAGGACUUUGGUGCUAUUUUGUUGGUUUCGAACACCGAAGUAAUGAUGAGAAGGGACAGUCAGGGGCACUCGUAUUCCGCCGAGAGAGGUGAAAUUCUCAGACCAGCGGAAGACGAACCACUGCGAAAGCAUUUGCCAGGGAUGUUUUCACUGAUCAAGAACGAAGGUUAGGGGAUCGAAGACGAUCAGAUACCGUCGUAGUCUUAACCAUAAACCAUGCCGACUAGGGAUUGGGGGAUGUUCACUGAUUGACUCCCUCAGCACCUUACGGGAAACUAAAGUCUUUGGGUUCCGGGGGGAGUAUGGUCGCAAGGCUGAAACUUAAAGGAAUUGACGGAAGGGCACCACCAGGUGUGGAGCCUGCGGCUUAAUUUGACUCAACACGGGGAAACUUACCAGGUCCAGACAUUGUGAGGAUUGACAGAUUGAGAGCUCUUUCUUGAUUCGAUGG
Molecule: ribosomal RNA, 678 nt
Filed under: uncultured eukaryote
Lineage: Eukaryota
Description: SSU rRNA
Rfam family: Eukaryotic small subunit ribosomal RNA
Source: RNAcentral